GACGGGUAGUAUCCUGGAAUUGCCCAGUCGAGGGGGAUACAGUUGGAAACGAUGCUAAUACCGAUACGCCUACGGGGGAAAGCAGGGACUUCGGGCCUUGCGCGAUUGGAUAUCCAGGUGGAUUAGCUAGUUGUGAGGUAAUGGUCACCAAGGGAAGAUCCCUACUGGUCUGAAGGAUGAUCAGCACACUGACUGAGACACGGUCCAGACUCCUACGGGAGGGAGCAGUGGGGAAUAUUGCACAGUGGGGGAAACCUGAUNCAGGCAUGGCCGGUUGUGUGAAGAAGGGCUUCGGGUUGUAAAGCACUUUCAGCGAGAGGAAAGGUCAGUAGGUAAUAUCUGUGACUGUGAGUUACUCGCAGGAAGAAGCACGCGGGGUAAUCCGGUGCAGAGCGGGUAAUACCGGAGGUGCAAGCGUUAAGUCGGGAAUUACUUGGGGGGUAAAGNGCACGCANGGGGGGUUUGGGAUAAAGUUCAGAUUGUGAAAAGCCCGGGGUCAACUGGGGAAUUGGGUUUAAAAACUGUCCAGGUAGGAGUCUUCGUAAGAAGGGGGGGGUUAGAAAUUCCAGGUGUAAGGGUGAAAGUGGUAGAGAANACUAG
This 600-nucleotide ribosomal RNA is filed under the name uncultured bacterium. Its description in RNAcentral is "bacterial SSU rRNA". The stretch from base 1 to 420 matches the Rfam family "Bacterial small subunit ribosomal RNA", at positions 100 to 543 of the family's 1533-position model. The record is from RNAcentral.